Molecule: ribosomal RNA, 480 nt
Filed under: uncultured Flavobacterium sp.
Lineage: Bacteria; Pseudomonadati; Bacteroidota; Flavobacteriia; Flavobacteriales; Flavobacteriaceae
Description: bacterial SSU rRNA
Rfam family: Bacterial small subunit ribosomal RNA
Source: RNAcentral
AGAGUUUGAUCCUGGCUCAGGAUGAACGCUAGCGGCAGGCCUAACACAUGCAAGUCGAGGGGUAAAUAGUUUUCGGAUUAUUGAGACCGGCGCACGGGUGCGUAACGCGUAUGCAAUCUACCUUUUACAGGGGAAUAGCCCAGAGAAAUUUGGAUUAAUGCCCCAUGGUAUAAUUGAAUGGCAUCAUUUGAUUAUUAAAGUUCCAACGGUAAAAGAUGAGCAUGCGUCCCAUUAGUUAGUUGGUAAGGUAACGGCUUACCAAGACUAUGAUGGGUAGGGGUCCUGAGAGGGAGAUCCCCCACACUGGUACUGAGACACGGACCAGACUCCUACGGGAGGCAGCAGUGAGGAAUAUUGGACAAUGGGCGCAAGCCUGAUCCAGCCAUGCCGCGUGCAGGAAGAAGCAUCUAUGGUGUGUAAACUGCUUUUGCACAGGAAGAAACACUCGGUCGUGACCGAGCUGACGGUACUGGAGAAUAA